CGAACCGUCCAAACGUUAUUCGGAAUUACUGGGCUUAAAGGGUAUGUAGGCGGCGCUGUUAGUCGGGUGUGAAAGCCCUCGGCUCAACCGAGGAAUUGCGCCCGAUACUGCAGUGCUUGAGGGAGACAGAGGUAAGCGGAACUGAUGGUGGAGCGGUGAAAUGCGUUGAUAUCAUCAGGAACACCGGUGGCGAAAGCGGCUUACUGGGUCUCUUCUGACGCUGAGAUACGAAAGCUAGGGGAGCGAAGGGGAUUAGAUACCCCCGUAGUCCUAGCUGUAAACGUUGAGCACUUGAUCGGGGACCCCCCCAUAGGUUCUCGGUCGUAGCGAAAGUGUUAAGUGCUCCGCCUGGGGAGUAUGGUCGCAAGGCUG
This 372-nucleotide ribosomal RNA is filed under the name uncultured organism. RNAcentral describes it as "bacterial SSU rRNA". It matches the Rfam family "Bacterial small subunit ribosomal RNA", at positions 526 to 896 of the family's 1533-position model. The record is from RNAcentral.